AACGAACGCUGGCGGCAUGCCUAACACAUGCAAGUCGAACGAGACCUUCGGGUCUAGUGGCGCACGGGUGCGUAACGCGUGGGAACCUGCCCUUAGGUUCGGAAUAACUCCCCGAAAGGGGUGCUAAUACCGGAUAAUGUCUUCGGACCAAAGAUUUAUCGCCUUUGGAUGGGCCCGCGUUGGAUUCGCUAGUUGGUAGGGUAAAAGCCUACCAAGGCGACGAUCCAUAGCUGGUCUGAGAGGAUGAUCAGCCACACUGGGACUGAGACACGGCCCAGACUGCUACGGGAGGGAGCAGUGGGGAAUAUUGGACAAGGGGCGAAAGCCUGAUCCAGCAAUGCCGCGUGAGUGAUGAAGGCCUUAGGGUUGUAAAGCUCUUUUACCCGGGAUGAUAAUGACAGUACCGGGAGAAUAAGCUCCGGCUAACUCCGUG
RNAcentral lists this ribosomal RNA (433 nucleotides) under uncultured bacterium. Its description in RNAcentral is "partial 16S ribosomal RNA". It matches the Rfam family "Bacterial small subunit ribosomal RNA", at positions 29 to 507 of the family's 1533-position model. The record is from RNAcentral.